Suillus occidentalis is the source of this 74-nucleotide non-coding RNA. The record is from the annotation of a GenBank genome assembly. Lineage: Eukaryota; Fungi; Basidiomycota; Agaricomycetes; Boletales; Suillaceae.
GGCCGACUAGCUCAGUUGGUUAGAGCGUCGUGCUAAUAACGCGAAGGUCUUGGGUUCAAUCCCCACGUUGGCCA